CUAAGAGCGAAUGGUGGAUGCCUUGACUGGUAAAGGCGAUGAAGGACGUACUAGACUGCGAUAAGCUACGGGGAGCUGUCAAGAAGCUUUGAUCCGUAGAUUUCCGAAUGGGGCAACCCAAUGUAUAGAGAUAUACAUUACCUAUAUAGGAGCGAACGAGGGGAAUUGAAACAUCUUAGUACCCUCAGGAAAAGAAAUCAAUAGAGAUUGCGUCAGUAGCGGCGAGCGAAAGCGCAAGAGGGCAAACCCAGUGCUUGCACUGGGGGUUGUAGGACUGCAAUGUGCAAGAGGUGAGUUUAGCAGAACAUUCUGGAAAGUAUAGCCAUAGAGGGUGAUAGUCCCGUAUGCGAAAAACAAACCUUAGCUAGCAGUAUCCUGAGUAGGGCGGGACACGAGAAAUCCUGUCUGAAGCUGGGUCGACCACGAUCCAACCCUAAAUACUAAUACCAGAUCGAUAGUGCACAAGUACCGUGAGGGAAAGGUGAAAAGAACUGAGGUGAUCAGAGUGAAAUAGAACCUGAAACCAUUUGCUUACAAUCAUUCAGAGCCCUAUGUAGCAAUACAGGGUGAUGGACUGCCUUUUGCAUAAUGAGCCUGCGAGUUGUGGUGUCUGGCAAGGUUAAGCAAACGCGAAGCCGUAGCGAAAGCGAGUCUGAAUAGGGCGCUUAGUCAGAUGCUGCAGACCCGAAACGAAGUGAUCUAUCCAUGAGCAAGUUGAAGCUAGUGUAAGAACUAGUGGAGGACUGAACCCAUAGGCGUUGAAAAGCCCCGGGAUGACUUGUGGAUAGGGGUGAAAGGCCAAUCAAACUUCGUGAUAGCUGGUUCUCUCCGAAAUAUAUUUAGGUAUAGCGUUGUGUCGUAAUAUAAGGGGGUAGAGCACUGAAUGGGCUAGGGCAUACACCAAUGUACCAAACCCUAUCAAACUCCGAAUACCUUAUAUGUAAUCACAGCAGUCAGGCGGCGAGUGAUAAAAUCCGUCGUCAAGAGGGAAACAACCCAGACUACCAGCUAAGGUCCCUAAAUCUUACUUAAGUGGAAAACGAUGUGAAGUUACUUAAACAACCAGGAGGUUGGCUUAGAAGCAGCCAUCCUUUAAAGAAAGCGUAAUAGCUCACUGGUCUAGUGAUUUUGCGCGGAAAAUAUAACGGGGCUAAAGUAAGUACCGAAGCUGUAGACUUGCACACAACUUAGAUUAUUUAAGUUUAGAAUAUGAGAAACUAAGUUAUAUGUUUAGUUAUAUUUUUACUGAUUUUUAUAGAGUAAAGAUAGAAAUAAAACUUAGUAAAAUCAGUAAAAAUAUUCUUAGACUAAAGUUAAGUAGUUUAAGUUGUGUGCAAGUGGUAGGAGAGCGUUCUAUUUGCGUCGAAGGUAUACCGGUAAGGAGUGCUGGAGCGAAUAGAAGUGAGCAUGCAGGCAUGAGUAGCGAUAAUUAAUGUGAGAAUCAUUAACGCCGUAAACCCAAGGUUUCCUACGCGAUGCUCGUCAUCGUAGGGUUAGUCGGGUCCUAAGUCGAGUCCGAAAGGGGUAGACGAUGGCAAAUUGGUUAAUAUUCCAAUACCAACAUUAGUGUGCGAUGGAAGGACGCUUAGGGCUAAGGGGGCUAGCGGAUGGAAGUGCUAGUCUAAGGUCGUAGGAGGUUAUACAGGCAAAUCCGUAUAACAAUACUCCGAGAACUGAAAGGCUUUUUGAAGUCUUCGGAUGGAUAGAAGAACCCCUGAUGCCGUCGAGCCAAGAAAAGUUUCUAAGUUUAGCUAAUGUUGCCCGUACCGUAAACCGACACAGGUGGGUGGGAUGAGUAUUCUAAGGCGCGUGGAAGAACUCUCUUUAAGGAACUCUGCAAAAUAGCACCGUAUCUUCGGUAUAAGGUGUGGUUCGCUUCGUAUUAGGAUUUACUCCGAAAGCGAAGAAACUUACAACAAAGAGUCCCUCCCGACUGUUUACCAAAAACACAGCACUCUGCUAACUCGUAAGAGGAUGUAUAGGGUGUGACGCCUGCCCGGUGCUCGAAGGUUAAUUGAUGGGGUUAGCAUUAGCGAAGCUCUUGAUCGAAGCCCGAGUAAACGGCGGCCGUAACUAUAACGGUCCUAAGGUAGCGAAAUUCCUUGUCGGUUAAAUACCGACCUGCAUGAAUGGCGUAACGAGAUGGGAGCUGUCUCAAAGAGGGAUCCAGUGAAAUUGUAGUGGAGGUGAAAAUUCCUCCUACCCGCGGCAAGACGGAAAGACCCCGUGGACCUUUACUACAGCUUGACACUGCUAUUUGGAUAAGAAUGUGCAGGAUAGGUGGGAGGCUUUGAGUAUAUGACGCCAGUUGUAUAUGAGCCAUUGUUGAGAUACCACUCUUUCUUAUUUGGGUAGCUAACCAGCUUGAGUUAUCCUCAAGUGGGACAAUGUCUGGUGGGUAGUUUGACUGGGGCGGUCGCCUCCCAAAUAAUAACGGAGGCUUACAAAGGUUGGCUCAGAACGGUUGGAAAUCGUUCGUAGAGUAUAAAGGUAUAAGCCAGCUUAACUGCAAGACAUACAAGUCAAGCAGAGACGAAAGUCGGUCUUAGUGAUCCGGUGGUUCUGUGUGGAAGGGCCAUCGCUCAAAGGAUAAAAGGUACCCCGGGGAUAACAGGCUGAUCUCCCCCAAGAGCUCACAUCGACGGGGAGGUUUGGCACCUCGAUGUCGGCUCAUCGCAUCCUGGGGCUGGAGCAGGUCCCAAGGGUAUGGCUGUUCGCCAUUUAAAGCGGUACGCGAGCUGGGUUCAGAACGUCGUGAGACAGUUCGGUCCCUAUCUGCCGUGGGCGUAAGAAGAUUGAAGAGAUUUGACCCUAGUACGAGAGGACCGGGUUGAACAAACCACUGGUGUAGCUGUUGUUCUGCCAAGAGCAUCGCAGCGUAGCUAAGUUUGGAAAGGAUAAACGCUGAAAGCAUCUAAGCGUGAAGCCAACUCUAAGAUGAAUCUUCUCUAAGCUCUCUAGAAGACUACUAGUUUGAUAGGCUGGGUGUGUAAUGGAUGAAAGUCCUUUAGCUGACCAGUACUAAUAGAGCGUUUGGCUUAUCU
RNAcentral lists this ribosomal RNA (3044 nucleotides) under Campylobacter coli. RNAcentral's name for it is "bacterial LSU rRNA". It matches the Rfam family "Bacterial large subunit ribosomal RNA". Lineage: Bacteria; Pseudomonadati; Campylobacterota; Epsilonproteobacteria; Campylobacterales; Campylobacteraceae. The record is from RNAcentral.